AAAUUACUGAAAUAUAAUUCAUGGACCGGGUAUCUCAAUGCAGCAUUUUCCAAGUGGAUAUAUUAGUCAAACUUAAUGUUUCAUUCAUGGGGAACUGCUGCUAGCAGUACAAACUAAGAAGAAAUUUUAAAGUAGUUUAUAUUUUUAAAAUAUCGAAGAGGUACACAAUAUCUUGGAGAGAUGAUGGAAACAUUCUUUAUUCACAAGUGCCCAAAGCAGAAAAAACUACCACAAGGGAGAUCUUCAGAUGUUAUUUUUCCUGACCUUCUAACAUUUCGGGCUCAAGAUGUUACUUCAAAUCAAGAAAGUCCAUUUAGCAACCAGCUAUUACUUUCCUAGUAUAAUGAGUUUUCUUACAAAUAGAAUGAAACAUCACUUAUUCUGAGAGAAAAUCCAAGGAGAUUAGGAGAUGUCAGUGACUAAUUGUUUACUUGCCAUUUGAACAACUUUUUGUGUGACUGAGGAUUAUGACCAAGAUGUGCUUUGGUUUUCUUUGAAGACUCUUGCUAAAAACUUGGAUAUGACAAAUAAAAUACUGGCAUUUCAAGA
Molecule: non-coding RNA, 549 nt
Organism: Ictidomys tridecemlineatus (thirteen-lined ground squirrel)
Lineage: Eukaryota; Metazoa; Chordata; Mammalia; Rodentia; Sciuridae
Source: RefSeq, a predicted model, not a curated record